RNAcentral lists this ribosomal RNA (253 nucleotides) under uncultured bacterium. RNAcentral describes it as "partial 16S ribosomal RNA". It matches the Rfam family "Bacterial small subunit ribosomal RNA", at positions 524 to 776 of the family's 1533-position model. The record is from RNAcentral.
UACAGAGGUCCCGAGCGUUGUUCGGAUUCACUGGGCGUAAAGAGCUCGUAGGUGGCUUGUCGCGUCUGCCGUGAAAGCCCGUGGCUUAACUACGGGUCUGCGGUGGAUACGGGCAGGCUAGAGGCUGGUAGGGGCAAGCGGAAUUCCUGGUGUAGCGGUGAAAUGCGCAGAUAUCAGGAGGAACACCGGUGGCGAAGGCGGCUUGCUGGGCCAGUUCUGACGCUGAGGAGCGAAAGCGUGGGGAGCGAACAGG